GACGAACGCUGGCGGCGCGCUUAACACAUGCAAGUCGAACGGAAAGGCCUGCUUUCCCUUGUGGAUUGCGGGUACUCGAGUGGCGAACGGGUGAGUAACACGUGAGUGAUCUGCCCCCAACUUGGGUAUAAGCCUGGGAAACUGGGUCUAAUUCCCGAUAGGACUGCAGGGUGGUGCCUGUGGUGGAAAACGAUUUUCUAGUGGUUGGGGAUGAGCUCGCGGCCUAUCAGCUUGUUGGUGGGGUAAUGGCCUACCAAGGCGGCGACGGGUGGCCGGCCUGAGAGGGUGGACGGCCACAUUGGGACUGAGAUACGGCCCAGACUCCUACGGGAGGCAGCAGGGGGGAAUAUUGCACAAUGGGCGGAAGCCUGAUGCAGCGACGCCGCGUGGGGGAUGACGGCCUUCGGGUGGUAAACUCCUUUCGACCGCGAGGAAGCCACCUGGUUGGAAGGGUGGUGACGGUAGUGGUAGAAGAAGCACCGGCUAACUACGUG
This 494-nucleotide ribosomal RNA is filed under the name uncultured bacterium. Its description in RNAcentral is "partial 16S ribosomal RNA". It matches the Rfam family "Bacterial small subunit ribosomal RNA", at positions 28 to 507 of the family's 1533-position model. The record is from RNAcentral.